CCCACUCCUUGAGACAAGGUCGCCCUGAAUAUAAUGCUCAAUAACACCAAGAAAAUGUCAUAUUUUUAAAUGAAAAUCCAUACUUUUUUGCAUACCGAAUAGGAAAUACUGUCAAGAUAUUGCAAAAAUAAUGAUUUGCUAAUGAAACUUUAUUGUAAAAGAAUUGCCCAUGUGCAGAAAUCACAGAGCUGCAGAUUUCAGCUGUCAGUUUUUUAAUCUGGAAACUUUUCACCCCGUGCUUCCUGAAUUGCUUACUGUAAGCCGGACUGGUUUGAUCUGUAUUUCAUACGUAGCAUAUGGCCAGAGUGUUCCUACAUCAUCUCUUCAGGACUGAGAUGCAGUGACUGUGCCGGCUACUCUAUUAGACACAGAAUACCAGCUGGCUGCUUCCUCUCUAGAUAGUUCCCUGCAGUGAAACUGUGCUUUGGUUCAUUGUACUGCUGAAAAAUGAAAUUAGCUCUGAUUAAGUUGUGCCCAAAGCAUAUGGCAUUACGCAUAUGCAAAAUGUAGUAAUAGUAUUUUGCACAUCCUUGUUCAAGAUCCCUUUUGUUCUGUAGAAAUCUUUUACUGUACCUGCUUGAAGGGCAGUGUAUGGACUCCUCCAGCAUAUUUUCCUUUCUACUACAUUUACAAUUGUUCUAACUUUCAAAUUUAAAUACCUUGAUCUUCCCAUAGUACAUUUUCCAGUCUUCCCUUUGUCCAAUGUGCUCUUUCCCCCUUUCUAAUCUGUUUAUUUUAUUGGCUAGUCUCAGAUUUAGCCUUUUCUUUCCACUUCUGCCCAGAAGACCAUAUUCACGAGUCACCUCUUGACCAUUAUCCAGUUCAGGACCCAUGAGGGAUCCCUGCUUCUGACACUAGAGACUCAUACACUGGCCUUCUUUCUUAGUCAUUUGAAGGGGUCUCUCACAUAUUUUUUAUUGAGGUUGGUGUUAGCUGGUGCUGUUGAGCAAGUUAGUGGUAUGAGAGUAUCACAAACUAUUGUAUGAAAUAUUGUUUUGUUUGACAAUUUUCCAUACGGGAAAUCACAAAAAUACUGUGACAAGUUUCAGAGGGAAGAUUGUUUUUUAAAAUUCAUAUUGAGAAUACAGUUGAACCCACAAAGCAGACGCUCAGCUUUAGCACGGUGCUAACAUAAUUAUUGAAAAAGGGGGAUUUCUAAUCACCAUUCAGCAUUUUAACAUGAUAAAACUCCACUAGGGAACACAGCAUGCCACUCGACAGUGGAAGUAAUGAUUGCUGAAGGUGGGCCUCCGCUACGCCUCCGCUGACUUUCCAUUACAAAUCAGUAAUGGGAAAUUAUCAGUGAAUCGACGCCUACUUUAACCAAAGAUGACAAGCUGGAGUUGCAAAACACCAACCCAGAGAGGGAUCUCAGCGGGAGGCGCUUUCUGUUAGAUAGAAAAUGUGUGAUGUUAGAGAGGACCAAAACUGUGAUUCCUCCACUGCCAAGAGACUACCAUGUGCACAGACCUGGUAACCUCCCAUCCUUCAGCCUCUCCAAGGAGCUUUCCCACAGCCACACAGGGCGACCCUUCACCCUGGGGUACCCUGAAAGCUAUAAACUGAACACAAAUCCAGCCGUCCUCAUUCCCUCAGCUUUAGUCCUCAGUGGCAGAAACACCUUUUCGGUUGAGAACUGCAAGCUUGGCAGGCCCAAGGUGAAAUAUCCAUCCUCCAACGUAAUGACUGUUAAAAACAAUCAGAAAAGCCAGUCCUAUCCGGACCCAAUAGCUGGAGCCUCUCGCUCUUACAUCCACAGGAUAUCUGAGCUGUCCUCUCUGGAGGGCGAGACGGUGAGGCAGGAAAAGCUCAAGAAAAUGAGAAAACCUCGAAAGACUCCAUCCUGACAAUCACCUCCUUCCCAGUCACACUGGUCGAGGUUAAAAACAUUCGAGUCUGUGCCAACGACAGAACAGAAUAAACCACUUAGGGCGCCAUGUUCAUUUCAGUGGCUCGUUCUGACUGCUUGUUUGUCCUCUGUGAUAUUAGUUUGCUGCUUGGUAUGGCUGGUGGUUACAUUCUGGGAUUCUUAAUUACGUGUAGUACGGACUUGCAACAAUAAAUGCCGGUGAUGAAUAUUAGGUAAACAUUUUCCAGUCUGACGCACAGCUGUCAGCAGUUUUCCACCCAGCACCUGCAUGCAGGAUAUUUAAUUUAGCUUUCUAAUGGCUCUUGUAUAAUGCGGCCAUAUUUCUUUCUGUAUCAUCUGUAUCAUAUUUCAUACGGUGUCCAUCUUUGGCCUCAUCGUUACCACAGUGUUUCAGACAUACAGCAUAUCUAAGCUUUGUUAAGUAAGUGAAAUAUUGACAUAUAUAGUAAAUAGUUUAGCAAAGCCAUAAUUGUGCCUUGUUAACUGUCUUCCUGAAAUUAAAUAAAUUUAUUUUUGUUAUUUUGAGGACCUUCCUUCAUGUGUAUAGCUUUUUUUUCACCACAUAUGUGGACCGUCACACCACUUUUUGGUGCAAACACUACAUAUAGACCACUACAAUUAGCAAAAUAUGCAUUCCAUAUUUACGAAACAGACACAAAACUGUGCCCC
Molecule: long non-coding RNA, 2539 nt
Organism: Astatotilapia calliptera (eastern happy)
Lineage: Eukaryota; Metazoa; Chordata; Actinopteri; Cichliformes; Cichlidae
Source: Ensembl